UACGGAGGGUGCAAGCGUUGUUCGGAAUUAUUGGGCGUAAAGCGCGUGUAGGCGGUUGAGUAAGUCAGAUGUGAAAGCCUUCCGCUCAACGGAAGAAGUGCAUUUGAAACUAUUCAGCUAGAGUACGGGAGAGGAGAGUGGAAUUCCCGGUGUAGAGGUGAAAUUCGUAGAUAUCGGGAGGAACACCAGUGGCGAAGGCGGCUCUCUGGUCCGAUACUGACGCUGAGACGCGAAAGCGUGGGGAGCAAACAGG
This 253-nucleotide ribosomal RNA is filed under the name uncultured bacterium. RNAcentral describes it as "partial 16S ribosomal RNA". It matches the Rfam family "Bacterial small subunit ribosomal RNA", at positions 524 to 776 of the family's 1533-position model. The record is from RNAcentral.